GGGGGUGGAGAGGAAGAGUUACCAAGGAAACACUAAGGGGGUGGAGAGGUAGAGUUACCAAGGAAACACUGAGGGGGUGGAGGAUGGAGAGGUAGAUUUACCAGGGAAACACUGAGGGGGUGGAGGAUGGAGAGGUAGAGUUACCAGGGAAACACUGAGGGGGUGGAGGGUGGAGAGGUAGAUUUACCAGGGAAACACUGAGGGGGUGGAGGGUGGAGAGGUAGAGUUACCAGGGGAACACUGAGGGGGUGGAGGAUGGAGAGGAAGAGUUACCAAGGAAACCCUGAGGGGGUGGAGGAUGGAGAGGUAGAGUUACCAGGGGAACACUGAGGGGGUGGAGGAUGGAGAGGUAGAGUUACCAAGGAAACACUAAGGGGUGUGGGG
This is a long non-coding RNA of Oncorhynchus tshawytscha (Chinook salmon), 384 nucleotides long. The record is from Ensembl. NCBI's taxonomy places the organism in Eukaryota, Metazoa, Chordata, Actinopteri, Salmoniformes, Salmonidae.